This 494-nucleotide ribosomal RNA is filed under the name uncultured bacterium. Its description in RNAcentral is "partial 16S ribosomal RNA". It matches the Rfam family "Bacterial small subunit ribosomal RNA", at positions 28 to 507 of the family's 1533-position model. The record is from RNAcentral.
GACGAACGCUGGCGGCGUGCUUAACACAUGCAAGUCGAACGGUGAAGCGCCUUCCUUUUUGGUGGGUGUGGAUGAGUGGCGAACGGGUGAGUAACACGUGAGUAACCUGCCCCCUUCUUCUGGAUAACCGCAUGAAAGUGUGGCUAAUACGGGAUAUUCUGGGUCUGUCGCAUGAUGGGUCUGGGAAAGAUAUUGUUUCGGUGGGGGAUGGGCUCGCGGCCUAUCAGCUUGUUGGGGGGGUGAUGGCCUACCAAGGCGGUGACGGGUAGCCGGCCUGAGAGGGUGGACGGUCACACUGGGACUGAGACACGGCCCAGACUCCUACGGGAGGCAGCAGGGGGGAAUAGUGCACAAUGGGCGCAAGCCUGAUGCAGCGACGCCGCGUGAGGGAUGGAGGCCUUCGGGUUGUGAACCUCUUUCGCCAGUGAAGCAGGCCUGCCUCGUUUGUGGGUGGGUUGACGGUAGCUGGAUAAGAAGCGCCGGCUAACUACGUG